Molecule: ribosomal RNA, 646 nt
Filed under: uncultured bacterium
Lineage: Bacteria
Description: bacterial SSU rRNA
Rfam family: Bacterial small subunit ribosomal RNA
Source: RNAcentral
UAANAUAGAACACCUGGGGGAGUACGGUUGCAAGAAUAAAAAAUCAAAAUAAAUUGNCGGGGGCCCGCACAAGCGGUGGGAGCAUGUGGUUUAAUUUGAUGCAACGCGAAGAACCUUACCUACUCUUGACAUCUACAGAAGCCAGCGGAGACGCAGGUGUGCCCUCGGGAACUGUAAGACAGGUGCUGCAUGGCUGUCGUCAGCUCGUGUUGUGAAAUGUUGGGUUAAGUCCCGCAACGAGCGCAACCCUUAUCCUUGUUUGCCAGCACUUCGGGUGGGAACUCCAGGGAGACUGCCGGUGAUAAACCGGAGGAAGGUGGGGACGACGUCAAGUCAUCAUGGCCCUUACGAGUAGGGCUACACACGUGCUACAAUGGCGCAUACAGAGGGCGGCCAACUUGCGAAAGUGAGCGAAUCCCAAAAAGUGCGUCGUAGUCCGGAUUGGAGUCUGCAACUCGACUCCAUGAAGUCGGAAUCGCUAGUAAUCGUGGAUCAGAAUGCCACGGUGAAUACGUUCCCGGGCCUUGUACACACCGCCCGUCACACCAUGGGAGUGGGCUGCAAAAGAAGUGGGUAGUUUAACCUUCGGGAGGACGCUCACCACUUUGUGGUUCAUGACUGGGGUGAAGUCGUAACAAGGUAACCG